Molecule: long non-coding RNA, 484 nt
Organism: Austrofundulus limnaeus
Lineage: Eukaryota; Metazoa; Chordata; Actinopteri; Cyprinodontiformes; Rivulidae
Exons: 3
Source: RefSeq, a predicted model, not a curated record
CUGAUAGAGUGGAUUGGUCAAGUGCAGAGAUGGGAGCUGAACAAACAGACGAUCUCUGAAGAGGUGAAAAGAGGAAAAGCGAGGAUUUCUCCGCGCUCUGCCUGAAGACAGGAGGAGGGAAAACAGGUCACGGCUGCUUCUCUGCCUGCAGCGGAGUUUACUCAUCUCCUAAAGUGCACAAGAGUUUCUCUCGAGACAAAAAUAAAUAAAUAAAAAAGUGCUGGACUUCAGUAGCACUCUGUGGAGACCCUGCGUCCUGGACUGGAUCAGAGCAGCUCUUCUUUUUAUGCUACAGUGGAAUGAGAGGAUGAUGACAGGAAUGAGAAAGUCAUUGAACGUUAAGCGACAUCACAUAUGGAGAUGCCCUACAGACUGGCACUGCCUAUUGGACCUGACGAUUCAGCGUGUCACCAUCUUGGAUGAUCCCGCUCGCACAUUAUUAUGACCCCCGCACACGAAGCGUAAGUGGGAGUCAUAUUGUUUU